UUGUUUUUCAUUGCAGGGGAAGAAGAAGAAGAAAUAAGUUUCCUGUGUUUAGUGGUUCUUGUCAAAGCAAAGAAAUGUCGAACAUAGACAUUGAAGGGAUAUUGAAGGAGCUACCUAACGAUGGGAGGAUCCCAAAGACCAAGAUCGUUUGCACUCUAGGACCAGCUUCUCGCACUGUUCCUAUGAUCGAAAAGCUUCUCAGAGCCGGUAUGAACGUUGCUCGCUUCAACUUCUCUCAUGGAAGCCAUGAGUACCACCAGGGCACACUCGACAACCUCCGCACCGCUAUGCAAAACACUGGCAUUCUCGCUGCUGUCAUGCUUGACACAAAGGUAUUAAAAACAAAAGUCUUUCAUCUAUCUAACCAUAUUUAGAGUCAAAUCAGCAUCUGAUUCCUCUUGUUUGAAUCUGCAGGGGCCUGAGAUACGUACUGGUUUCUUGAAAGAUGGGAACCCUAUACAACUCAAGGAAGGCCAAGAGAUCACCAUCACCACCGACUACGACAUUCUAGGAGACGAGACGACGAUCUCCAUGAGCUAUAAGAAGCUUCCCUUAGAUGUGAAGCCCGGAAACACCAUUCUAUGUGCGGAUGGAAGCAUAAGUCUAGCGGUCCUGUCAUGUGAUCCAGAGUCUGGAACUGUUAGGUGCCGGUGCGAAAACACGGCGAUGCUUGGCGAGAGAAAGAACGUGAAUCUCCCCGGUGUCGUUGUUGAUCUCCCCACUCUGACUGAGAAGGACGUUGAAGAUAUUAUGGGUUGGGGUGUUCCAAACAGCAUCGAUAUGAUUGCGCUUUCUUUUGUCCGUAAAGGCUCGGAUCUUGUUAAUGUCAGGAGGGUUCUUGGUUCUCAUGCUAAAAGCAUAAUGCUGAUGUCAAAGGUACUUCGAAUUCUUUCACUUGUGGCAUUGCAUUUUAUGUAGGCCCGCGGGUUCGGUUAGUUCGGAAUCUGGUUAGUUCGGGUCGGUCGAAAUCGGUUUGGUUUUCGGUUAGAGUUGUUGGUUAAAUUUUCGGUUUAAAUUGAAUAAAAUCUGAAAGAUCCAAGUUAUUUUAUUUGGGUUCGAAUUUAGGUUAGUUUGGUUUAGAAUUUUGGUUAAAAUUGGUUCUGUUUGGUAAUUUUUUUAUAGAAAACCGAACUAACUGAUGACUGAACCGAAAACCAACUUCUUUUUCCAAAUUGAACCAAACCUUUUAAUCGAACCGAAAUCCAAACUUUUCGGUUCAGUCCAGCAGGUUCGGUUCAGUUUGGUUUUUGGUUAGAGUUUUUGAUUAAAUUUUCGGUUUAAAUUGAAGAAAAUCUGAAAAAACGAAGUUAAUUUAUUUCGGUUCGAAUUUAGAUUAGUUUGGUUUAGAAUUUUGGUUAAAAUUGGUUUUGUUUGGUAAUUCUUUUUUAGAAAACCGAACCGAAACCCAACUUUCUUUUAGUAGCCGAAUUGGACCAAACCUUAAAACCGAACCGAAAUCCAAACUUCGAACUUUUCGGUACAGUCCGGCAGAUUCGGUUCAGUUAAUAACCGCAGACCUAACUUUAUGUAUAUAUUGAGGCAUAGACCUGACUUUUGGUUUUGGUGUUUUAUAUUUGAAGGUUGAGAACCAAGAAGGAGUGAUUAACUUUGAUGAGAUACUGCGCGAAACAGAUGCAUUCAUGGUUGCUCGUGGUGAUCUCGGGAUGGAGAUUCCCAUAGAGAAGAUCUUCUUGGCUCAGAAGCUGAUGAUCUACAAGUGCAACCUCGCAGGCAAACCAGUGGUCACAGCCACUCAGAUGCUCGAGUCAAUGAUCAAAUCACCAAGGCCAACGCGUGCUGAAGCCACAGACGUUGCAAACGCCGUCCUCGACGGCACAGACUGCGUGAUGCUCAGCGGAGAGAGCGCAGCAGGAGCUUAUCCGGAGAUAGCCGUGAAAGUCAUGGCCAAGAUCUGCAUUGAAGCAGAGAGCUCGCUUGAUUACAACACGAUCUUCAAAGAGAGGAUCAGAGCAACUCCGGUUCCAAUGAGCCCGUUGGAGAGUCUUGCAUCGUCAGCUGUAAGGGCUGCGAACAAAGCGCAUGCGAAGCUCAUCAUUGUGUUGACUCGCGGAGGUUCAACAGCUAAACUUGUAGCUAAGUACAGACCCUCUGUUCCGAUUCUUUCGGUGGUUGUACCAGUAAUGACCACUGAUUCCUUUGACUGGACUUGUAGCGACGAGUCGCCUGCAAGACACAGUUUGAUAUACAGAGGGUUGAUCCCUAUGUUGGCUGAAGGAUCUGCGAAGGCGACGGAUAGCGAGUCCACGGAGGUUAUCAUUGAAUCCGCUUUGAAGUCAGCUGUGAAGAGAGGAUUGUGCAACCAUGGUGAUGCUGUUGUGGCGCUGCACCGUAUUGGAGUUGCCUCGGUUAUUAAGAUCUGUGUGGUGAAGUGAAGAAAUAAAAGAAUGGCUCUUGGAGUGCUUAUGAUUGUUGGCAAUCAUAAACUGAGAGUUAACUUCGUUGCUUGAAAUAAAGAUGUACUGUUAAGACAUCUCUCUCCCUUUUGUAUGGAUUACCACCUACUUUUGAUGUACAACACUGUUUCUCUUAAUAAGCUUUGCUUAUAAAAGUUUAAGCAUUAAGGUUUUAGUAAUAUAAUAACAUACAAAGAUGGAGAAAGCAAUGCAUAAAAGAUUGAAACAAAAUGUAAAGAGAAGUAUGUUUCUUUCAGAUGUUUAGAAUCAUAAAUACUAUUCUAACUUCUAAAUCAUCAGUUAAUCAGCCGCCGUGGGAGAGAGAAGAUUAAACAAUGAAGCCUGAUGUAACUGAGAUCACCUGUUCUGAAAGGGGUUGGUUGUUAUAACGUAUUGCGCCUGAUGUUAUUGCUUCCACUGUUUUCUGUAACAUGCAAUAGAUCGAUUAGUGUCUGAAGUAUUAACAGAUUGAAUAAUAAAGCCCGGGAUGUGGCAGAUGCUUACUCAUCGUGACACUAACGAAACUCAUCAUGGAAGCCGUAGUCAUCAUCAGAGUCAUCUUCGUUAAAAAUGGCACUGUAGAAGACGUAUGGAUGCUCAAUCAUCUCUGCCAAAGUCAGACGUCCAUCUUUGUCUGAAUCCGCCUGGUAAGAUAAGAGAGAACAAUAUAACAUUUGAGCAAUACAACAUCAAACUAAAGCCAUUUGUUUUGAAAAGUGAUUAUGUACCUGUGAUAUAAUAUAAUCAGCUUGUUGUUUUGCGUAGUAAUGCUCGGUAGGAUGGAUUUUACUGAUGAUGGGAAGCAAUUCAACGUCUGAUAAGUACCUGCAGAGAAGUCAGAGGAAGCUAUGUUAAGGGAUGCAUACAUAAAUGUUUAUCAUGAUGUGUACUCUUCUCAAGUUACGUACCCGUCACCGUCUUUGUCAAGCUGAGAAAACAACUGCUUUGCAGGGCCUUCAGGUAAGUCAUGAUAAGGAUGCGUAGCGUUGUGAUUGUCUUCCUCGUAGUUUCUCACAGUGUCAAAGAGUCCGUGGUAAAACUCUUCGAAACCGAUCUUACCAUCUUUAUCUGAAUCUCUUUCUCUGCAAAAGGGUAGGAGAAGAAAGCUAAAACAAGUGUUCUUUAAAAGCUAUGCCAAUAACAUAUGGAUACACUACAGUACCUUACUUCCUCCUUGCACAACCAUAGCAGUAGUUUAUGGUUCUUGGUAUCAGCAGGAUGAAGAAAGCUAUAGGGAAGAAAGAGAGAGGUAGUGUACAUAUCUGCUAAUACCUCUGUUAUGAUUGUUUUUUGUUUUUGCAGUACAAUCUCUAUGAUGGAUCCACGUAGAAGUUGGGCGGCGAGAUGGUUAAGAAUUGGUAUGUUAAAAGCAAUUACACUUUUAACUUGUUCUCUUUGUCCAACCAUUACACUUGACUUUUGAUAUUAUUGCUACGUUCAUCACAUCAAGAGAUUCUGUAUGUGGAAAUAUAUAUUACCGACCGCCAAACUCCGCUUUAGAUCUCCUAUUAACUGUGGUUUAAGUGGUGACUGCAUUGAUAAUUCUAGUUUUCUUCGUCCGAAUAGUAGGCUUUGAUGUUGUUGUAUUCUCGGAGUCUUAUUUUAGACGGAAGUUAGUUCUAACACGUUGUGAUAUUCUUGUUUACAGGUAAAUUUGCUCCUGGUUGCUACGCUCUUGCUGUCUCAGAGACACUCUCAGAGGACAUGCAGGUAAAUGUACUUGAUCGGCUAUAUAAUAAGCAAUCCUUAGUUCUGGUUUUCAAACUCCUAAGAAUAAGGGAUCCAUGUUUCAUAACGAGUGUUCUCAUUUUCUUUUAUUUUUCACUUGUUGUACAGUCACUAUGCCAAGAAGAGCGAGUUCAGUACAUUCCGCCAAAACGCAUUUGAAGCCCUUUUCAUCAACUGUCUUCAUGUGGACAUCAGCUUCAAGAAGCCUGAGUGUGUGAAUCCAUGGAGGCUAUCAACGGAAGUAGUUUAGUUUAACUAUGUUUCAUGAUUUCAUAUCUUUGUUUUGCCAACAAAAGAACAUCUCUUGCAACUCAUUUGAUAACCUCCGGAAAAAAAUAUCACUAAAAAAAAAAAAAAACAAAUUGGAUAUAUAAAAUAAUAUUCUUUUUCUUAUAUAAUUUUAAAAAUUCGAGUUCACGUGGCUGUCGAUACCAACUUCGUUUCACAAAAGCUAAUUCAAUAAUAAAAAUAUUAUUUAAUACUCAAAAACAGAGUCAUCACACAAGUCCAACCCGAAAAAACAAGAGGUUGUUCUUGUUCCGACACGACAACACAUCCAGAAUCGGAGCUAAUAAGGUAAAACCUCUCUCUCUCUCUCUCCGAUUUCAUCUCCAAUCUACCUUAUGUUCUAUGUCCUGGAUGCAAAACUUAGAUACUCCGGUUCUUUUUGAAGUGUUGACUUCCUUUAAUUCUAUGUUCGGUUUGCUGAGAAUCUGUUGAACUGUUACGUUUGCUUCUGUGUAGAGUUAGCUACCUUCUCCUUUGGUCUAAUGGAUUUGUAUUCUUUUGUUGAUAGGUAUAAGUGUUACUUAUGUUCAAAUUUGUUUUUCAUUGCAGGGGAAGAAGAAGAAGAAAUAAGUUUCCUGUGUUUAGUGGUUCUUGUCAAAGCAAAGAAAUGUCGAACAUAGACAUUGAAGGGAUAUUGAAGGAGCUACCUAACGAUGGGAGGAUCCCAAAGACCAAGAUCGUUUGCACUCUAGGACCAGCUUCUCGCACUGUUCCUAUGAUCGAAAAGCUUCUCAGAGCCGGUAUGAACGUUGCUCGCUUCAACUUCUCUCAUGGAAGCCAUGAGUACCACCAGGGCACACUCGACAACCUCCGCACCGCUAUGCAAAACACUGGCAUUCUCGCUGCUGUCAUGCUUGACACAAAGGUAUUAAAAACAAAAGUCUUUCAUCUAUCUAACCAUAUUUAGAGUCAAAUCAGCAUCUGAUUCCUCUUGUUUGAAUCUGCAGGGGC
RNAcentral lists this long non-coding RNA (5381 nucleotides) under Brassica napus (rape). RNAcentral's name for it is "long non-coding RNA (BNAP_LNC012659)". The record is from RNAcentral. Lineage: Eukaryota; Viridiplantae; Streptophyta; Magnoliopsida; Brassicales; Brassicaceae.